GGUGAGUAACGCGUGAGCAACCUGCCUUCAGCAGGGGGAUAACGUGCCGAAAGGCACACUAAUACCGCAUAAUGAUGGAACAUCGCAUGAUGAACCAUUUAAAGGGCUAAACCGGCUGAAGAGGGGCUCGCGUCCGAUUAGAUAGUUGGUAGGGUAACGGCCUACCAAGUCAGCGAUCGGUAGCCGACCUGAGAGGGUGAUCGGCCACAUUGGAACUGAGAACGGUCCAAACUCCUACGGGAGGCAGCAGUGGGGAAUAUUGGGCAAUGGGGGGAACCCUGACCCAGCGACGCCGCGUGAGGGAAGAAGGUUUUCGGAUUGUAAACCUCUGUUCUUGGCGAAGAAGCCAGACGGUAGCCAAGGAGGAAGCCCCGGCUAACUACGUGCCAGCAGCCGCGGUAAUACGUAGGGGGCGAGCGUUGUCCGGAAUGAUUGGGCGUAAAGGGCGCGUAGGCGGCAUGUUAAGUCUGAAGUGAAAGUCCUAUAUUUAAGGUAGGAAUUGCUUUGGAAACUGAUGUGCUUGAGUGCAGGAGAGGUCAUCGGAAUUCCCAGUGUAGCGGUGAAAUGCGUAGAGAUUGGGAGGAACACCAGUGGCGAAGGCGGGUGGCUGGACUGUAACUGACGCUGAGGCGCGAAAGUGUGGGGAGCAAACAGGAUUAGAUACCCUGGUAGUCCACACUGUAAACGAUGAAUGCUAGGUAUAGUUGGUAUCGACCCCAACUGUGCCGUCGCAAACGCAAUAAGCAUUCCGCCUGGGGAGUACGGUCGCAAGAUUAAAACUCAAAGGAAUU
This 791-nucleotide ribosomal RNA is filed under the name uncultured bacterium. RNAcentral describes it as "bacterial SSU rRNA". It matches the Rfam family "Bacterial small subunit ribosomal RNA", at positions 105 to 911 of the family's 1533-position model. The record is from RNAcentral.